RNAcentral lists this ribosomal RNA (253 nucleotides) under uncultured bacterium. RNAcentral describes it as "partial 16S ribosomal RNA". It matches the Rfam family "Bacterial small subunit ribosomal RNA", at positions 524 to 776 of the family's 1533-position model. The record is from RNAcentral.
UACAGAGGUCUCAAGCGUUAUUCGGAUUCAUUGGGCGUAAAGGGUGCGUAGGUGGCGAUGUAAGUCUGGUGUGAAAUCUCGGGGCUUAACCCCGAAACUGCAUUGGAUACUGCGUUGCUUGAGGAUUGUAGAGGAGAGUGGAAUUCACGGUGUAGCAGUGAAAUGCGUAGAUAUCGUGAGGAAGACCAGUUGCGAAGGCGACUCUCUGGGCAAUUCCUGACACUGAGGCACGAAGGCCAGGGGAGCAAACGGG